This 1411-nucleotide ribosomal RNA is filed under the name Klebsiella pneumoniae. RNAcentral describes it as "bacterial SSU rRNA". It matches the Rfam family "Bacterial small subunit ribosomal RNA". The record is from RNAcentral. Lineage: Bacteria; Pseudomonadati; Pseudomonadota; Gammaproteobacteria; Enterobacterales; Enterobacteriaceae.
CAGGCUACACAUGCAGUCGAGCGGUAGCACAGAGAGCUUGCUCUCGGGUGACGAGCGGCGGACGGGUGAGUAAUGUCUGGGAAACUGCCUGAUGGAGGGGGAUAACUACUGGAAACGGUAGCUAAUACCGCAUAAUGUCGCAAGACCAAAGUGGGGGACCUUCGGGCCUCAUGCCAUCAGAUGUGCCCAGAUGGGAUUAGCUAGUAGGUGGGGUAACGGCUCACCUAGGCGACGAUCCCUAGCUGGUCUGAGAGGAUGACCAGCCACACUGGAACUGAGACACGGUCCAGACUCCUACGGGAGGCAGCAGUGGGGAAUAUUGCACAAUGGGCGCAAGCCUGAUGCAGCCAUGCCGCGUGUGUGAAGAAGGCCUUCGGGUUGUAAAGCACUUUCAGCGGGGAGGAAGGCGAUAAGGUUAAUAACCUUGUCGAUUGACGUUACCCGCAGAAGAAGCACCGGCUAACUCCGUGCCAGCAGCCGCGGUAAUACGGAGGGUGCAAGCGUUAAUCGGAAUUACUGGGCGUAAAGCGCACGCAGGCGGUCUGUCAAGUCGGAUGUGAAAUCCCCGGGCUCAACCUGGGAACUGCAUUCGAAACUGGCAGGCUAGAGUCUUGUAGAGGGGGGUAGAAUUCCAGGUGUAGCGGUGAAAUGCGUAGAGAUCUGGAGGAAUACCGGUGGCGAAGGCGGCCCCCUGGACAAAGACUGACGCUCAGGUGCGAAAGCGUGGGGAGCAAACAGGAUUAGAUACCCUGGUAGUCCACGCCGUAAACGAUGUCGAUUUGGAGGUUGUGCCCUUGAGGCGUGGCUUCCGGAGCUAACGCGUUAAAUCGACCGCCUGGGGAGUACGGCCGCAAGGUUAAAACUCAAAUGAAUUGACGGGGGCCCGCACAAGCGGUGGAGCAUGUGGUUUAAUUCGAUGCAACGCGAAGAACCUUACCUGGUCUUGACAUCCACAGAACUUUCCAGAGAUGGAUUGGUGCCUUCGGGAACUGUGAGACAGGUGCUGCAUGGCUGUCGUCAGCUCGUGUUGUGAAAUGUUGGGUUAAGUCCCGCAACGAGCGCAACCCUUAUCCUUUGUUGCCAGCGGUUCGGCCGGGAACUCAAAGGAGACUGCCAGUGAUAAACUGGAGGAAGGUGGGGAUGACGUCAAGUCAUCAUGGCCCUUACGACCAGGGCUACACACGUGCUACAAUGGCAUAUACAAAGAGAAGCGACCUCGCGAGAGCAAGCGGACCUCAUAAAGUAUGUCGUAGUCCGGAUUGGAGUCUGCAACUCGACUCCAUGAAGUCGGAAUCGCUAGUAAUCGUAGAUCAGAAUGCUACGGUGAAUACGUUCCCGGGCCUUGUACACACCGCCCGUCACACCAUGGGAGUGGGUUGCAAAAGAAGUAGGUAGCUUAACCUUCGGGAGG